CGGCAUCACUGAUCGAGUCUUUUCUCUUUCUCUCAUGAUAAUGACAGUUUGUUCAAAACAAUAAACCGGAGAAUGGAAUGGAUCGAGAAUCAAGUUUCGUAGCUUUUCUGAACAACAUUACAGAUUGGAAGACCUACAUAAUGCAGCGAGCAAAACACAGCAGCAGCAAGCAGUUGUUCGACUUAUUCCAUGAAUGGGCCCCCACGAAUCGGAUAUUUUAUUUCGAAGAAAAAUGAAUGAAAAUGCAACAGUUGCAGACGAAAACGGCAGUAUUUAUUUGUCGAUUCGCGGAAAAAUGAUAUGCAUCCUGAGCAUAUCCGUAAAGUUAUUCGUGGUCAUAGUGAUAUGAAGAGAACCGUGCGGAGAGUUUUGCAGUGAUGAACUUGUAUGCUAACGUUCCGGUGCUGCAUCAUAUCGUCUCGUGAUGUGCGGUUAGAAAUAAGACCGAUGCCGUUCCAACGUAUCCAACGAUAUACUGAUAGCGUGUAGGAACCAGAACAAUUGAAGGUUAUCAAAAUUGAUUCAUGGUCAAUUCCUGCGAACGAGUGAACACCAGCUUUUGACUGAAGUGGCGUGUUUCAACACAAAAAGUAACCACCACCAGCAUCGCUAUGUGGAUUUACAAAAGGAUCCUAUAUACUAUGACUUUCAUCAUGACAUAGCCCCCGGAUAUUGUUUAUGGGAGGUCUAAAUUUUCACCUAUUACCAAGGACCGUUAGUAUUGAAAAUUGGAAUGAUUGCGAUAGCAUUUUGUCAGCCCAUUCGCGCUAAAUGAUUGCUAUUUGUGUAAUAAUAUGCUAAGAUGUUUAUAUUAUUGUGAAUUUUUUUUAUAGAUAACGAUUUAUAAUUGUUACAUUUUUCAUAUUGCCCAGAAAUCAUUGAUUUCUUCAUUCAUCGCGACAGUACGCAGAAUAUCAGAGGAUGUCACGGAUUGAUAUUAUGGAACUGAUGAAUUGUAAUACUGAACGCUAUUCCGGUAGGGAACGAUCGGUAGACAAUCAAACAAAGUAGUAACGAAAUUAAAUUUAAAAAUAGCCGUGCAUGU
Molecule: long non-coding RNA, 1045 nt
Organism: Toxorhynchites rutilus septentrionalis
Lineage: Eukaryota; Metazoa; Arthropoda; Insecta; Diptera; Culicidae
Exons: 3
Source: RefSeq, a predicted model, not a curated record